AGAAACUUAGGAUAAUAUAAACCAAAGGCCUUCAAAGCCUCAAACAAGAGUUAAAACCUCUUAGUUUCUG
Molecule: transfer RNA, 70 nt
Organism: Amazona aestiva (blue-fronted amazon)
Lineage: Eukaryota; Metazoa; Chordata; Aves; Psittaciformes; Psittacidae
Rfam family: tRNA
About the family: Transfer RNA (tRNA) molecules are approximately 80 nucleotides in length.
Source: Rfam